UCCAUCUCUGGAAGUUUCCAGUGAUGUCAAGGGCAGGUAAGGUUCUUCGCGUUGCAUCGAGGCGGCUUUUUAAGUCGGAUGUGAAAUCCCCGAGCUUAACUUGGGAAUUGCAUUCGAUACUGGGAAGCUAGAGUAUGGGAGAGGAUGGUAGAAUUCCAGGUGUAGCGGUGAAAUGCGUAGAGAUCUGGAGGAAUACCGAUGGCGAAGGCAGCCAUCUGGCCUAAUACUGACGCUGAGGUACGAAAGCAUGGGGAGCAAACAGGAUUAGAUACCCUGGUAGUCCAUGCCGUAAACGAUGUCUACUAGCCGUUGGGGCCUUUGAGGCUUUAGUGGCGCAGCUAACGCGAUAAGUAGACCGCCUGGGGAGUACGGUCGCAAGACUAAAACUCAAAUGAAUUGACGGGGGCCCGCACAAGCGGUGGAGCAUGUGGUUUAAUUCGAUGCAACGCGAAGAACCUUACCUGGCCUUGACAUACUAGAAACUUUCCAGAGAUGGAUUGGUGCCUUCGGGAAUCUAGAUACAGGUGCUGCAUGGCUGUCGUCAGCUCGUGUCGUGAGAUGUUGGGUUAAGUCCCGCAACGAGCGCAACCCUUUUCCUUACUUGCCAGCAUUUCGGAUGGGAACUUUAAGGAUACUGCCAGUGACAAACUGGAGGAAGGCGGGGACGACGUCAAGUCAUCAUGGCCCUUACGGCCAGGGCUACACACGUGCUACAAUGGUCGGUACAAAGGGUUGCUACACAGCGAUGUGAUGCUAAUCUCAAAAAGCCGAUCGUAGUCCGGAUUGGAGUCUGCAACUCGACUCCAUGAAGUCGGAAUCGCUAGUAAUCGACUAAGGGUUUUUCAAAAACAAGAAAAG
RNAcentral lists this ribosomal RNA (858 nucleotides) under Acinetobacter junii. RNAcentral's name for it is "bacterial SSU rRNA". It matches the Rfam family "Bacterial small subunit ribosomal RNA", at positions 1 to 1358 of the family's 1533-position model. Lineage: Bacteria; Pseudomonadati; Pseudomonadota; Gammaproteobacteria; Moraxellales; Moraxellaceae. The record is from RNAcentral.